AGUUCGGAUUGAAGGCUGAAAUUCGCCUUCAUGAAGCCGGAAUUGCUAGUAAUGGCAGGUCAGCAUACUGCCGUGAAUACGUUCCCGGGCCUUGUACACACCGCCCGUCACACCAUGAGAGUUGGGAAUACCCGAAGCCUGUGAGCUAACUUUAAGAGGCAGCAGUCGAAGGUGGGGUUGAUGAUUGGGGUGAAGUCGUAACAAGGUACC
RNAcentral lists this ribosomal RNA (210 nucleotides) under uncultured bacterium. RNAcentral describes it as "partial 16S ribosomal RNA". It matches the Rfam family "Bacterial small subunit ribosomal RNA", at positions 1290 to 1500 of the family's 1533-position model. The record is from RNAcentral.